Molecule: non-coding RNA, 4791 nt
Organism: Oryctolagus cuniculus (rabbit)
Lineage: Eukaryota; Metazoa; Chordata; Mammalia; Lagomorpha; Leporidae
Source: RefSeq, a predicted model, not a curated record
CAUCACAAUGCUGUAUGGAAUGCAGGGAUUUAAGAGGGUGACUAUCCAUCCAGUAGGAAAGCAGGUUCCGUCCCUGGAGAAUGAACAUCUUGAAUUAAAAUAUGCGUGAAACAGAGACUCAGGAUGGGUCUUAGAAGUAAAAUCAACAGGAAUCCCUGCCUAUGGAGAGACAAGAUUGUCUCCCAGCUGUCCAUCUUGAGCAAUGGAGUAGCUGAGAAAGACUAGGAUUAGCACAGACUUACAAGUAAAACAAACAUCCAGUUUUGAACACAUUAGAAUAGAGAAGAAUGUGGAUGCUACAUCAACAUUUGGAUGUGUGGCAUUGUUUGUCACACAGACAGGGGCUGAAGACAAAAUUGGGAGGCUCAGCAUCUGAGUAGUAUGUUAAACCAUGGUGACGGAAGACACGACCCAGGAAGAGUAGGGCCAGGGAAGGAAAGUGUUUGGGCAGACUCCUAGGAAACUCUAACACCUGACGAUGAGGCAAGAACAAUGAGGCUGACAGUGAUGAAGCAGAAAGGCUGAAAGGAAAUCAGGAGCGCGGUGUUCACAGAACCUGUCUGUGAAGGGAGCAGAGAGCACACUUGAGGGCUCCGAGAAUCACAUCAAGGCGCUUGUGCAGGAAGGCGCUCGCCCUGGCCUUCAGAGGGAGGCGAGCACCUCCUUUUGUUUGUCAGGGAAGAAGAACAAAGACGUAUCUGAAUCAGGGGCCCAAGAAUAAAUAUUUUAAGGUUUUCACGCCACAUGGUCUCUGUUGAUAGGACAUUGCUAUUACAGCACAAGGGCAAUCACAGAAAAUAAGAACACAAAUGGUCAUGGAUGGAUUGCAGUGAGAUUUAUUUAUGGACAUUGAAAUUUGAGUUUCAUAGAAUUUUUACGUGUCAUGAAAUAUUAUUCAUUGUUUUUUCCAUCUACUUAAAAUGGAAAAACCAUUGUAUGCUGGUGGGCUGUUCAAAAAUGGGCAGAGAGGCAGUUUUGGCUGGUGAGCCAUGUUGUACUCUAUCCUGCUCUAGGUGCUGUGGAACACUUAUCAAAAUUUGUGCAUGGAAUUUGGGAGGGUGGGGAGCAGCAUGUUUUGCUGAGAACUCUGUUCCUUGAUGAGGCAGUCUUAAACUGAGAUAAAAAGCAGGUUUGAAUCACCGAAGAAGUGAAGAAGUAUGUGGUUCACACAGCAGUGCGUGUGCAGAGGGCAGGGUUAAAAUCCAACAGAACAGUGGCGAUGUCAACCCAAUGGAAGGGACGAGGCUGCCUGGAGACCCUGAGUUGCAAACCGGAUCUUCAAGGAGGGUCAGAGAUUAUGAAUUCAGUUAAAAAUAUGACGCAGUAUUAAAGCACUGAAGAGACAACACAGAAGCGAUGACGUGCCACAUCGUGGCUGCUUUCAAGUGACAAUAAUCACAUUUAGUAAUUUCUGGUUUAAGCAAAUUGCCUCUGAAUGAUACAAAAACAGAGACUGGUUGUGGUGUAAAUGUCCAGGCAUUCCCAACCAGGCCAGCGGGCUGCAGUGCACGCACAUCUGGUCGGCAUCUGGCGUGCACACAGGAGAACAUGCAUCAUAUUUGUUCUGCAUGUUAAACUCGGGUGUAGCUGGAGAAGUUCAUGCUCAUUCCAGGUUCAGGAAAAUUCGGUCAGUUUGGGAACAGAGUUUAUAAGGCCCUAAAUGCAGGUCCUACUUACAGUUUCUGUGGCGUCUAGUGUAAGCUCCUGGAGCAUGAUCGCACCUUAACACCAACUCAGCCUUCAUUUCUUCUGGAAUGGUGCAAGACAGGUUUGCAUAAUGUUCCCCAAGAUUGGAAAAAUAACAGUAAAUGCCAGGGCAGUCCCUAUGUGUAUUGGAAACAGGUUCUUGGUGAAGCCACCACAUUGAAUUUUUAGAAAACCUCUUUUCUUGGAGCUUAUGUUUCAAGAGUGAAUUCAGAGUUUGAACUCUACUGUUUGGCGUCUGGAAUGUUCUUCAGUGAUCAAACUUACCAUAUUUCAAUAGAAGGAGUAACAGCAAUGUUUGAGAGGCAGAACUCCAGCUAGCUCAUGACACCAUGCUCUGAUUUUCCUCAGUGAUCUGAAGUUCCAGAACUAUUGCAACUGUGAUGACUUCAUGAGCAUUUUCAUCUUGCUGCAGCCAUCCCAUCAUUUUGUUCUCUUUGAUAAAUCAUAGCAGCUAUGAGAAUGUGCUGCAUGCUCAGCAAUGUAUCAUUAUGUUUGGAGAAGCACAUCUUUGCCAACACUGACUUUCAAGGCGCAAGGAUCAACACCUGUGAAAGAAUCGCUCCACCGCCAUCAAACAUGAACAUACUUGAAUAUCAGUGUCGUUACAGCACUUCCUCUGGUUUAUGAAUGGGACUGAUUAUUUUUCCAGACAGUUCAUAGCAUCUGCUAGUGCCUAAAACUCUCACUGAUUUCAGGAUUGCACUUUUGGUUAUGUAAUAUGUACUCUGAAUACACCAGGCUACUUUCCAGUUUACUUCCAGAUACAAUUUUUUUUUAAAUUUAUUUGACAGGUAGAGAUAUAGAGAUAGUGAGAGAGAGAUACAGAGAGAAAGGUCUUCCUUCCAUUGGUUCACUCCCCAAAUGGCUGCUACAGCCGGCGCUGUGCCAAUCCGAAGCCAGGAGCCAGGUGCUUCUUCCUGGUCUCCUAUGCAGGUGCAGGGGCCUAAGCACUUGGGCCAUCCUCCACUGUCUUCCUGGGCCACAGCAGAGAGCUGGACUGGAAGAGGAGAAACCGGGACUAGAACCCGGCGCCCAUAUGGGAUGCCAGCACCACAGGCAGAGGAUUAACCAAGUAAGCUACAGUGCCGACCCCUCCAGAUGCAAUUUUAAGGUCUGAGGUUAAUCAGUAAGAGCACAGGGGAUCUGGAGUUUGGCGAUCCUAAAGAAAGACAGCCUCCAUCUCUACAUAUCUUCAUGAUGGUUUACGUAGAUCAGUGGGUACUGUAUUUUACCUCCUGCAAACUGGCAAUUCCUAACCAAUUAACUUCAACUAUGGAACUGGCUCCUGCCAUUGGUUUGACGAAGUCAUAUCUACUGUUUUAAGUCUAUGACCCUGAGCAUACUGAGAUCAUUACAGGGGAGGGAGGGAGAUGUUUUCUGUAUAUUACAGUAGAGGCUCCUUACUGUAAAAAUCCUUAUUGUUAACUGAAUUUUUUAAAGACAAACCAAUAAACCAAUUGGUCAUACAACUCUAAUUAUCCUGAAAGUGAUGGAAAACAGUAAUAGCUAUUGUCAGAAAUUAAAAGAAUGACUGGUGUCAGUAAACAUUUGCUAGAAUACAAUUAAUGCAGAUGAGGGUGUGCUUUCUUUCCAGUGCUCUAAAUCAGACGAAAUUAGCAUUUGAAGAUAUUUCCUGUUUGGUUAAGUAACUCGCAGGAUAUGAGAAACACUUAAAAUUUGAAAUUAUUUUAAAUAAAUGGAUGCUUUUUCUGUCUAAGGUUCAUUUAAGAUUUCUAAAAUUAGUUUCAGUCCUGUACAACUUUAAUACAGAUCGGGUGUUUUAAAAUAUUUAUGAUAAAGAAAAUGAUUCCAUCUGGGUAGGGAAUUUUUAUUACUAGAAUAUCAUACCAAUUUGAAUUAAAGCCACUGUGAGAUUAAUUUCUUCUCUGCUGUUGGAAUAUAAAUGUGUUCUGACAGCUGCUUUCUGUAACUGAAGUAUACUUAUUUGCAUGCAAUAGCUUCUACUCAAUGAAAUAAUAUAUAUCAGAGAAACUUUGAAUGGUUUAAGCAACAAACAAAGAUUGAUUAUCAAUGCAAAUGCCAACCAGGGAUUUAUUAUAAAUAACAAAAUAUUGGCAAGUCCAUGGUCUGAAGUCAACACUGGUUAUUUACAGCUUUUAUAAAGACAAUUGAGAAUUUCAGAAGAACUUUCUGAUGUUAAAAAAAUUAAAGAAUUACACAAAGGGAAAAGAUGGCCUUGGUCCAACACGUUUUUCAGAUUUAUUAAUGAUGAAUACAUCAGGCACUCUUUAUUGGAUUAUAUUCCCUUUUACCAUGGCUAAAAGCUGACAGGAUGAGUAUUAUUACAGUAAUAUGUCAUGAGGGAUGUGUACUGAUACAAACAUUUGUGUAAUACAAUUGGAGUCUGAGUAGGUGCCGUUAUCUACAAUAGUUUAGGCAUCCAUGAUGAAAGGAAAAGAUUUCAAUGUAAGAAGCUACAUUUGGACAAGAUCAUAGUCAAAGUGGAAGUUCUCUCCUCCCUUCAGAGAAAGGUAUCUCCUUCUUUGAUGGCCUGUUCUUUCCACUGGGAUCUCACUUGCAGAGAUCUUUCAUUUAGGGUUUUUUUUUUUUUUUUCCAGAGUGUCUUGGCUUUCCAUGCCUAAAAUACUCUCACAGGCUCUUCAGCCAGAUCUGAAUGCCUUAGGGGCUAAUUCUGAGGCCAGAGUGCUGUUUAGGACAUCUUCCAUUCUAUGAGUCUACUGUGUAUCCCGCUUCCCAGCUUCCCAUGUUGGAUCAUUCUCUCCUUCUUAAUUCUAUCAGUUAGUAUUAGCAGGCACUAGUCUUGUUUAUGUGAUCUCUUUGACUCUUAGACCGAUCAUUAUGAUCAAUUGUGAACUGAAAUUGAUCACUUGGACUAGUGAGAAAGCCAUUGUAUUCCAUAAACUGUACUUUGGAAAUUUAUAUUUAUUAAAUAAAAGUUAAAAAAAAGAAACUACAUUUGUCAUGCUUUCUACAGGAACAAUCCCAUCUAAUUAAGAAGAGACAAUAACAAAAGGUAUGGAAGUCACCAGAUUUUUUUAAGACUUUUUUAGCAAUAAAGUUACAGUCAGAGAGAAGGCAAGAUAGAGAGAAAGGUCUUCCAUC